UCCCCGGUAGCUCAGCAGGUAGAGCGGUUGGCUGUUAACCAACUGGUCGCUGGUUCGAAUCCGGCCCGGGGAG
RNAcentral lists this transfer RNA (73 nucleotides) under Candidatus Tectimicrobiota bacterium. Its description in RNAcentral is "Candidatus Tectomicrobia bacterium tRNA-Asn". It matches the Rfam family "tRNA". From Rfam's summary of the family: Transfer RNA (tRNA) molecules are approximately 80 nucleotides in length. Their secondary structure includes four short double-helical elements and three loops (D, anti-codon, and T loops). Lineage: Bacteria; Pseudomonadati; Candidatus Tectimicrobiota. The record is from RNAcentral.